This 466-nucleotide ribosomal RNA is filed under the name uncultured bacterium. RNAcentral's name for it is "partial 16S ribosomal RNA". It matches the Rfam family "Bacterial small subunit ribosomal RNA", at positions 28 to 507 of the family's 1533-position model. The record is from RNAcentral.
GACGAACGCUGGCGGCGUGCUUAAACAUGCAAGUCGAACGGAAAGGCCCUGCUUUUGUGGGUGCUCGAGUGGCGAACGGGUGAGUAACACGUGAGUAAGCUGCCCUUGACUUUGGGAUAACUUCAGGAAACUGGGGCUAAUACCGGAUAGGAGCUCCUGCUGCUUGGUGGGGGUUGGAAAGUUUCGGCGGUUGGGGAUGGACUCGCGGCUUAUCAGCUUGUUGGUGGGGUAGUGGCUUACCAAGGCUUUGACGGGUAGCCGGCCUGAGAGGGUGACCGGCCACAUUGGGACUGAGAUACGGCCCAGACUCCUACGGGAGGCAGCAGUGGGGAAUAUUGCACAAUGGGCGGAAGCCUGAUGCAGCAACGCCGCGUGCGGGAUGACGGCCUUCGGGUUGUAAACCGCUUUCGCCUGUGACGAAGCGUGAGUGACGGUAAUGGGUAAAGAAGCACCGGCUAACUACGUG